Molecule: long non-coding RNA, 1597 nt
Organism: Silurus meridionalis
Lineage: Eukaryota; Metazoa; Chordata; Actinopteri; Siluriformes; Siluridae
Exons: 5
Source: RefSeq, a predicted model, not a curated record
UAAUCCAAUAAGAAAUAAGAAAUAAUCCAAGAGAACUGAAGAGCGAACCAAAUGAUGUUGCUUCAGCGAGUGCUAGGAUCAGAAUGAGGAAGAGUGAGUUUUAAAAAAUAAAGCCCCAAAGAGGCCCGAAAAUAAUGGGAUAUGAAAAAGGAAGGUCACAUGGGGGAAAUGACGACAGGAAGGGGAGGAACCGGGAAGAACCAGAAAUAAUGGGAUUUGGAAUAAACCACGUGAUGACUAAUAAUGAGGGGGAAGGGCCUAAAAAUCAAGCAGCAUGGAAAUAAUGGGAUUUGGACAAAAAUUAUGCAAAUUAAGAGAGGAGGCGCCCAGAGGCGCCUGCAAAUAAAUAAGAUAGCAGUCUAGGCACUUGACUUGCACUUGUUUGUUGGUGUGUAGUUCGAGCAACAGCUAGAGUGCCUUCAAGACCGGUCUGAAGAUUUCUGGAUUCUCAGGAUUUUAGUUGUUACUUUCAUUUUUGGUAUGUCUAUUUCAGAACAUGGAAGAACUGCAUCGGAUUCUUUAUAGAGGGAACUCUCACUUCAUACCUGACCUGAAGACCCACUGGGGGACCUUUUAUGAGAAGGCACAGUUUUAUGUGUUCAAAAAUGUCAUGAAAGCACCACAGCAGGACAAAGUCUGGCUGCACUGGUUUUAAGACAUCUGUGGGUUCUUUGAGAUUUUUGAAGAAUUUCUGGAAGAAAUCUGAGUUCAAUGGAGCGUUGGACACUGCAUGUUUGGAAGAAAGGAAGAAAAUUUGAGGAAUUCAAGGAAAAACACUAGAUAAAAAUCUUGCACCAGGUUGAUUCAGAGUUAUCUAAUGCAACAUGUGUCUGCACAGCAGUACCCUCCAGUCUUUCUGGGUGAUGAUUCAGAUGAGUUUUUCAGGAUUUUCUCCUCCUUCUAAGUACCACUCAACUUUCCAUCCUUUCCCAACUUUCUUGACACGUGUUGCUGCCAUCAAUUUCAAAAUGACUUUUUUUCUAAAAGAUAUUUCCUCAGUUUUAACAUUUUAUGUUUUUUUAUGUUCUAUUGUGAAUAAAAAAUAGAUUCAUGAGAAUUGCACAUCAUUACAUUUUGUUUUUAUUUACAUUUUACACAGUGUCUCAAAGUUUUGGGGUUGCAGUCACUUUCCUUAUUUUUUUUCCCUCUAAUUUCAGAUUCAGAUGUAAAUUCAAUCAAAUUGAUGUUGGCCUUCUUACACUUUUAUCUGCCAAAGGUCCACAUGCUCUUAAUGUAAACUCUUCAAGGGCAAUCAUUCUGGAGGGAUAGAUUGUUGCGGAUGAUGUCCCAAAUUUGUUACAUGCUGUAUUUUUUUUUUAUUUUGUAUCUUUUUGCUUUGAUUUAUGGUCCAAAUGUAGACUACCCUGAGACAAGGAGGAACAUAUUUGAUUUUAUUCAGAGAGAAUUUUUGUCCUUAGGUGGGAAGAACUUUAAACCCAAUCUCCAAACUCUUUUAAAAAAAAAAUCAGCUUUUAAGCUACAUAGAAACAAUCAAAACAGACAAAAAAAGGUCAUCUGCUUUUUUUUUGUUGUUGUUCCAGUCAUUGUUGUUAAGUGAUUGUUCCAAUAUUGCUUUGUAACUGUUCUUUUAUGUUUU